GACGAACGCUGGCGGCGUGCUUAACACAUGCAAGUCGAACGGAAAGGCCCUGCUUUUGUGGGGUGCUCGAGUGGCGAACGGGUGAGUAACACGUGAGUAACCUGCCCUUGACUUUGGGAUAACUUCAGGAAACUGGGGCUAAUACCGGAUAGGAGCUCCUGCUGCAUGGUGGGGGUUGGAAAGUUUCGGCGGUUGGGGAUGGACUCGCGGCUUAUCAGCUUGUUGGUGGGGUAGUGGCUUACCAAGGCUUUGACGGGUAGCCGGCCUGAGAGGGUGACCGGCCACAUUGGGACUGAGAUACGGCCCAGACUCCUACGGGAGGCAGCAGUGGGGAAUAUUGCACAAUGGGCGGAAGCCUGAUGCAGCAACGCCGCGUGCGGGAUGACGGCCUUCGGGUUGUAAACCGCUUUCGCCUGUGACGAAGCGUGAGUGACGGUAAUGGGUAAAGAAGCACCGGCUAACUACGUGCCAGCAGCCGCGGUGAUACGUAGGGUGCGAGCGUUGUCCGGAUUUAUUGGGCGUAAAGGGCUCGUAGGUGGUUGAUCGCGUCGGAAGUGUAAUCUUGGGGCUUAACCCUGAGCGUGCUUUCGAUACGGGUUGACUUGAGGAAGGUAGGGGAGAAUGGAAUUCCUGGUGGAGCGGUGGAAUGCGCAGAUAUCAGGAGGAACACCAGUGGCGAAGGCGGUUCUCUGGGCCUUUCCUGACGCUGAGGAGCGAAAGCGUGGGGAGCGAACAGGCUUAGAUACCCUGGUAGUCCACGCUGUAAACGGUGGGUACUAGGUGUGGGGUCCAUUCCACGGGUUCCGUGCCGUAGCUAACGCUUUAAGUACCCCGCCUGGGGAGUACGGCCGCAAGGCUAAAGCUCAAAGGAAUUGACGGGGCCCCGCACAAGCGGCGGAGCAUGCGGAUUAAUUCGAUGCAACGCGUAGAACCUUACCUGGGUUUGACAUGGAUCGGGAGUGCUCAGAGAUGGGUGUGCCUCUUUUGGGGUCGGUUCACAGGUGGUGCAUGGCUGUCGUCAGCUCGUGUCGUGAGAUGUUGGGUUAAGUCCCGCAACGAGCGCAACCCUUGUUCACUGUUGCCAGCACGUUAUGGUGGGGACUCAGUGGAGACCGCCGGGGUCAACUCGGAGGAAGGUGGGGAUGACGUCAAGUCAUCAUGCCCCUUAUGUCCAGGGCUUCACGCAUGCUACAAUGGCUGGUACAGAGAGUGGCGAGCCUGUGAGGGUGAGCGAAUCUCGGAAAGCCGGUCUCAGUUCGGAUUGGGGUCUGCAACUCGACCUCAUGAAGUCGGAGUCGCUAGUAAUCGCAGAUCAGCAACGCUGCGAUGAAUACGUUCCCGGGGCU
This 1346-nucleotide ribosomal RNA is filed under the name uncultured bacterium. Its description in RNAcentral is "partial 16S ribosomal RNA". It matches the Rfam family "Bacterial small subunit ribosomal RNA", at positions 28 to 1381 of the family's 1533-position model. The record is from RNAcentral.